GCGGCGGUGGUGAAACUGGUAGACACGCUAGCUUGAGGGGCUAGUGGGGUAAAACCCGUGGAGGUUCAAGUCCUCUCCGCCGCA
RNAcentral lists this transfer RNA (84 nucleotides) under Spirochaetaceae bacterium. RNAcentral's name for it is "tRNA-Leu". It matches the Rfam family "tRNA". Rfam says of the family: Transfer RNA (tRNA) molecules are approximately 80 nucleotides in length. Their secondary structure includes four short double-helical elements and three loops (D, anti-codon, and T loops). The record is from RNAcentral. Lineage: Bacteria; Pseudomonadati; Spirochaetota; Spirochaetia; Spirochaetales; Spirochaetaceae.